GACGAACGCUGGCGGCGUGCUUAACACAUGCAAGUCGAACGGAAAGGCCCUGCUUUUGUGGGGUGCUCGAGUGGCGAACGGGUGAGUAACACGUGAGUAACCUGCCCUUGACUUUGGGAUAACUUCAGGAAACUGGGGCUAAUACCGGAUAGGAGCUCCUGCUGCAUGGUGGGGGUUGGAAAGUUUCGGCGGUUGGGGAUGGACUCGCGGCUUAUCAGCUUGUUGGUGGGGUAGUGGCUUACCAAGGCUUUGACGGGUAGCCGGCCUGGGAGGGUGACCGGCCACAUUGGGACUGGAAUACGGCCCAGACUCCUACGGGAGGCAGCAGUGGAGAAUAGUGUACAAUGGGCUGAAGCCUAAUGCAGCACCGCCGCGUGCGGGAUGACGGCCUGCGGGUUGUAAUCCGCUUUCGCCUGUGACGAAGCGUGAGUGACGGUAAUGGGUAAAGAAGCACCGGCUAACUACGUG
RNAcentral lists this ribosomal RNA (468 nucleotides) under uncultured bacterium. RNAcentral describes it as "partial 16S ribosomal RNA". It matches the Rfam family "Bacterial small subunit ribosomal RNA", at positions 28 to 507 of the family's 1533-position model. The record is from RNAcentral.